AUCUCGGACUUUCAGCCUUUCAGAACCGUGAGAAAUAAAUGUCUGCUGUUUCCGGCUACACCAUCUGCGGUGUUGUCUUAUGGUGACCUGAGCAGACUAAGAUCUUUUUACUCUUCAGUCAGCCUCCAAAAGGAUCAUCAAUUUCCUCUUAGGAUAAUUCUGGGACUGUGUGCAUAUUGAGAGGACAACAGAGGUCAAAGAAAAUCCUGUAAUGGACCAUCCUUUGGUAAGCACAAGAAGCCUGGAUGCCAAAAAAGCUGGUGAGAGAUCACACAGAAUAUCUGUAUUAAAACCUGGACAACUAGUGGAUUAUUUGAAAGCUGAUGACGAAGAAUGGAAGUUUCCUUGAAGAAAAAAGCUAUAAGGGAGGUCAAGACCUCAUCGUGACCUCAAAUGUAACUAUUACCCUACUGGUUAGCUGAAAUUGGAGAUCAAAGCCUGAAUGUGCUAAAUGUAUUUGGCUGUGAAUUGUUUCUUGAAAAAGGUAAAAGGAAGUA
Suricata suricatta (meerkat) is the source of this 497-nucleotide long non-coding RNA. RefSeq lists it as uncharacterized. The record is from RefSeq and is a predicted model, not a curated record. Lineage: Eukaryota; Metazoa; Chordata; Mammalia; Carnivora; Herpestidae. The transcript is spliced from 3 exons.